Molecule: unclassified non-coding RNA, 464 nt
Filed under: Hevea brasiliensis (rubber tree)
Lineage: Eukaryota; Viridiplantae; Streptophyta; Magnoliopsida; Malpighiales; Euphorbiaceae
Source: RNAcentral
CCUAACCUAAUAACCCAGCUGAAAAGGACACAACGAGUAAUAAAAAAAAGAGGCCUCCAACAGAAACCAAGCUCCGAACUUGCAAGCCACAAGCCACUAAAAAAAAAGAACACCUGGACUAGUUUCUGGAGAAGGACAAGGCUACCAAUGCACAACUGCACUAGCCCUUCUUAACCUAUCGACUGGAAGAGAAAAAUAGACACUUCUAGAGUAGAAACAGAGCUCCCAACAUAUUCGAAAGCUACACAAACCAAAAAGCUUAACCUUCCAAUUUGGCACUGAGUCUCAAGAGCAAUUCAGAAAAUGCUCCUCGUGAACUAUGGCAAGGGUGGAAAACCACUGUCCCCAAACGGCUUCUUGCCUUAAGGGUCAACAGACUUGUAGAUCAGGCAGUGGAGAGACCCUGGAGAUAGUCUUCCUCAUGGCAUCGUCUUUAAACCUCUCGUGGCAGAACUAGCAGCCAC